This 291-nucleotide ribosomal RNA is filed under the name uncultured soil bacterium. RNAcentral's name for it is "partial 16S ribosomal RNA". It matches the Rfam family "Bacterial small subunit ribosomal RNA", at positions 26 to 313 of the family's 1533-position model. The record is from RNAcentral.
AGAUUGAACGCUGGCGGCAGGCCUAACACAUGCAAGUCGAGCGGCAGCACGGGUACUUGUACCUGGUGGCGAGCGGCGGACGGGUGAGUAAUGCCUAGGAAUCUGCCUGGUAGUGGGGGAUAACGCUCGGAAACGGACGCUAAUACCGCAUACGUCCUACGGGAGAAAGCAGGGGACCUUCGGGCCUUGCGCUAUCAGAUGAGCCUAGGUCGGAUUAGCUUAGUUGGUGGGUAAGUGCGUCACCAAGGACGACGAUCCGUAACGUAGGUCGUGAGAGAUGAUCAGUCACAC